CCUACGGGGGGCAGCAGUGGGGAAUAUUGGGCAAUGGGCGCAAGCCUGACCCAGCAACGCCGCGUGAAGGAAGAAGGCUUUCGGGUUGUAAACUUCUUUUGUCAGGGACGAAGCAAGUGACGGUACCUGACGAAUAAGCCACGGCUAACUACGUGCCAGCAGCCGCGGUAAUACGUAGGUGGCAAGCGUUAUCCGGAUUUAUUGGGUGUAAAGGGAGCGUAGACGGCCAAGCAAGCCAGGGGUGAAAGCCCGGGGCCCAACCCCGGGACUGCCCUUGGAACUGCAUGGCUGGAGUGCGGGGGGGGCAGGCGGAAUUCCUGGUGUAGCGGUGAAAUGCGGAGAUAUCAGGAGGAACACCGGCGGCGAAGGCGGCCUGCUGGACCGCGACUGACGUUGAGGCUCGAAAGCGUGGGGAGCGAACAGGAUUAGAUACCCCAGUAGUC
RNAcentral lists this ribosomal RNA (443 nucleotides) under uncultured bacterium. RNAcentral describes it as "partial 16S ribosomal RNA". It matches the Rfam family "Bacterial small subunit ribosomal RNA", at positions 338 to 795 of the family's 1533-position model. The record is from RNAcentral.